AUGGCACAAGAACUGGUUCUGCGACUAGACAUUGCUCAGGAAAAGUGCCUCCUCACGCCUGCUGAAUUAGAGUUUAGGAAAAUAAUAAAGCUCCGCCUUCUGGGUUUAGCGGCCAUUGACAAGGCAAGGAAAAAGCAAUGCUCCAGGAUCAAUUGGUUGCGGGCGGGGGAUGCUAGCACGACAUUUUUCCAUGCCAAGAUAAAUGCUAGGAAACAGAAAAACUUCAUCCUAUCCCUGAACAGAAAUGGUACGCCCGUGACAAGCCACCCUGAAAAAGAAGAGGUGAUCAAGGAUCACUUCACCAGGCUACUAGGCACACAACAGCGCCGCGCAUGCACAAUAAACUGGGAUGAAAUCCAGUUGCCCCAAGUAGACACAUUAGGCCUAGAUAUACCUUUCUUGGAAGUUGAAGUUUGGAAUGCAAUCAAGCAAUCACCGCCAGACCAAGCCCCUAGACCGGAUGGAUUCUCAGGUGCUUUCUACAGGAGAUGCUGGCAAACCAUAAAACAAGAUCUCAUGCGUGCCCUGCAACAAUUCCAUGAUCUUAAUGGAGGACACGGUUUCAAAAACCUGAAUGCAGCAUUGGUGGUGCUCAUCCCAAAGACUCCGGAUCCAACCGACGUCAGACAAUUCCGACCAAUUAACCUUGUGCACUCCUUUGCAAAGCUUGUCACCAAAAUCCUAGCCCUGCGCCUAGCCCCAAAACUUGGUAGUCUUAUCUCCCCAACCAAAGUGCCUUCCUCAAGACUAGAUGCAUACAUGAUAGUUUCUUCUUCGUCAAAAAUGAUGCACAUAGCCUGCAUUGUAAAAAGAAGCCCGCACUGCUCUUCAAGAUGGACAUUGCAAAAGCGUUUGACUCAAUCUCAUGGGAGUACUUACUUGAACUCCUUCAGAAGUUAG
This 900-nucleotide ribosomal RNA is filed under the name Triticum aestivum (bread wheat). RNAcentral's name for it is "partial small subunit ribosomal RNA". The record is from RNAcentral. Lineage: Eukaryota; Viridiplantae; Streptophyta; Magnoliopsida; Poales; Poaceae.